RNAcentral lists this ribosomal RNA (769 nucleotides) under uncultured bacterium. Its description in RNAcentral is "bacterial SSU rRNA". It matches the Rfam family "Bacterial small subunit ribosomal RNA", at positions 28 to 776 of the family's 1533-position model. The record is from RNAcentral.
AUUGAACGCUGGCGGCAGGCCUAACACAUGCAAGUCGAGCGGCAGCGACUUAACUGAACCUUCGGGGAACGUUAAGGGCGGCGAGCGGCGGACGGGUGAGUAAUGCCUGGGAAUAUGCCCUGAUGUGGGGGAUAACUAUUGGAAACGAUAGCUAAUACCGCAUAAUCUCUUCGGAGCAAAGAGGGGGACCUUCGGGCCUCUCGCGUCAGGAUUAGCCCAGGUGGGAUUAGCUUGUUGGUGAGGUAAUGGCUCACCAAGGCAACGAUCCCUAGUUGGUCUGAGAGGAUGAUCAGCCACACUGGAACUGAGACACGGUCCAGACUCCUACGGGAGGCAGCAGUGGGGAAUAUUGCACAAUGGGGGAAACCCUGAUGCAGCCAUGCCGCGUGUGUGAAGAAGGCCUUCGGGUUGUAAAGCACUUUCAGUAGGGAGGAAGGUAGUGUAGUUAACACCUGCAUUAUUUGACGUUACCUACAGAAGAAGCACCGGCUAACUCCGUGCCAGCAGCCGCGGUAAUACGGAGGGUGCGAGCGUUAAUCGGAAUUACUGGGCGUAAAGCGCAUGCAGGCGGCCUGUUAAGUCAGAUGUGAAAGCCCGGGGCUUAACCUCGGAAUUGCAUUUGAAACUGGCAGGCUAGAGUCUUGUAGAGGGGGGUAGAAUUUCAGGUGUAGCGGUGAAAUGCGUAGAGAUCUGAAGGAAUACCAGUGGCGAAGGCGGCCCCCUGGACAAAGACUGACGCUCAGAUGCGAAAGCGUGGGGAGCAAACAGG